GGAGAGUUGUCCGAGAGGCCGAAGGAGCACGCUUGGAAAGCGUGUAAACAGGAAACUGUUUCAAGGGUUCGAAUCCCUUACUCUCCG
RNAcentral lists this transfer RNA (87 nucleotides) under Aerococcus kribbianus. RNAcentral's name for it is "tRNA-Ser". It matches the Rfam family "tRNA". Rfam says of the family: Transfer RNA (tRNA) molecules are approximately 80 nucleotides in length. The record is from RNAcentral. Lineage: Bacteria; Bacillati; Bacillota; Bacilli; Lactobacillales; Aerococcaceae.